CGCUUCUUUUUCCACCGGAGCUUGCUCCACCGGAAAAAGAGGAGUGGCGAACGGGUGAGUAACACGUGGGUAACCUGCCCAUCAGAAGGGGAUAACACUUGGAAACAGGUGCUAAUACCGUAUAACAAUCGAAACCGCAUGGUUUUGAUUUGAAAGGCGCUUUCGGGUGUCGCUGAUGGAUGGACCCGCGGUGCAUUAGCUAGUUGGUGAGGUAACGGCUCACCAAGGCCACGAUGCAUAGCCGACCUGAGAGGGUGAUCGGCCACAUUGGGACUGAGACACGGCCCAAACUCCUACGGGAGGCAGCAGUAGGGAAUCUUCGGCAAUGGACGAAAGUCUGACCGAGCAACGCCGCGUGAGUGAAGAAGGUUUUCGGAUCGUAAAACUCUGUUGUUAGAGAAGAACAAGGAUGAGAGUAACUGUUCAUCCCUUGACGGUAUCUAACCAGAAAGCCACGGCUAACUACGUGCCAGCAGCCGCGGUAAUACGUAGGUGGCAAGCGUUGUCCGGAUUUAUUGGGCGUAAAGCGAGCGCAGGCGGUUUCUUAAGUCUGAUGUGAAAGCCCCCGGCUCAACCGGGGAGGGUCAUUGGAAACUGGGAGACUUGAGUGCAGAAGAGGAGAGUGGAAUUCCAUGUGUAGCGGUGAAAUGCGUAGAUAUAUGGAGGAACACCAGUGGCGAAGGCGGCUCUCUGGUCUGUAACUGACGCUGAGGCUCGAAAGCGUGGGGAG
RNAcentral lists this ribosomal RNA (730 nucleotides) under bacterium enrichment culture clone WG_330. Its description in RNAcentral is "bacterial SSU rRNA". It matches the Rfam family "Bacterial small subunit ribosomal RNA", at positions 67 to 768 of the family's 1533-position model. The record is from RNAcentral.